CAAAGAACCAACAGCAGUUUCAAGUCGCGAACCAGCAGCAGCACCCUAUAGAACGGGAACAGCUCUAUUGUCCUUCGCCGUAUACCACCAGGGGAGGGCGUCUCGGAUCGCUCUACACGACGGAAGAAUUACGGUCGGGAUGGGCUUCCGCGCACAGCCUACAGAGCGCCAUUGAGGAGCCAGAGGAUGAUAGAUUAAGGCCACACCAUACCUACGAAGUGCCUUUCCUCCGGAGGCCAUUGGACUCCAAACAAGACCAGAUAGGCACGCAGGAAGACGUGUCAAGUUCAACAGAGCGCCUUGGAGACCAUAUAUACUGCAAACCUACUAACUGUGUACGUGUCCCCAGAUAAGUGCAAGGCCCAAUGCAAGUCCCUGCAGACGCUGAGCGUCAUCGAGGGCUACCGCAACAGCAAUGUCUCGUACGUCUACUCGAGACCAAAAAAGAAGAACUGGGGCAGCAACAAUGAAGAAAUUUUCUACGCUGAGCAGAAGAUGCGAAAUCUAGCUAGGUACGCAGAUGGACUGAAGCAAGAGGAAAUGGAAUCGCGCGAAAGUGGCCUAGAGUUUCCGGUCGACACGUAUGAACUAUCUGAGGCUGAGUGUGACAUGCCGACAAGGCAUUGCUCAGUUCAAACAUAGGCUGCUACAGGAAUAAGUGGCCACUCACAUACAGUCAGACCAACCCGGCUAAGUGCAGAUCACCACAGGUUUCUCCCGCGACACCUCUGUGCUGCAGUGACCAACGCUACUGCGAAUCUUGUGAUGUGUCUAAGAAGGACGCUAAAUGUUCCGGACAUUUUUGUGGUGCAGAACUCUGUAUUACUCGAACAUUUCUUCAAACUUAUCGCGAGACUGACCGUUUUCAAGGGAACUCAAGACUUCAGAAAUACUGUUUUCUGCUGUGGUGCACUUCUUCACAAGAAGGAGAGAGCUGUUUAAUGAACAAGCUGCAUUUCAAGGUUUAGCGAUGGGGCAUGUGUUGAGUUUUGUUCGUAGCUAUGGACCCAAUUCGCUAAACAAUCACUCCCCUGUGUCAAAAGUGGUCCUUGGCUUCAUUCAGAGCCCUGAAAUCACAAACUUAUCUGGGAUGAUCUCAGGAUAGCAAGGCGCCAAAUGGACGAUGAUCAGUACAAGAAUGAGGUACAAUAUCGCCAUUGGUCAGACUGGUUGGCAUUGACAAUGUAAGCAUUUAUUGUUGAACGUUGGUUGUUACAUUGCGCACCAUUCGUUCGAGAGAUGGUGAUUGGCAUGCGCAUGCGUGAAUGAUUCAGGAUGAUAUCAACCCAACAAUGCUACUUGAGUGAUAAUUUUACUCUGCCGGUAUUGCGCUUGACUGUUCAUCGACGAUAACAUAGCGUGGAAAUAGAAAUUUAUUGAUUGCACGAGAUAUUAGUGACAUUUUUGUUUCUCUUCUAAGCACUUUAAGAUAAACAGGUAUUUUGGUUUUGCGAACGUGUACAUUCAGCAAAUUUCUUUAAAAAAUAAAACUUGCAAGAGAUAGAUGGCUCUGGUUCUAGUUAAAUGUUAUAAUCGGUACUCGUGAUGUUGAAAAAUGAGCCUACUUACAAGAAGGGCCACUUUUUUGUCAGAAUAAUCAUUGGACAUUAAAUGAAUGAGUUUAUUGAUACAGGAGAUUUGUUUUUUGGUGAGCAGCUGAAAUGAGUGUGGCACCUGGCAGCGCAAAUCUCAAUAACGCGUUCCAUUCUACACGGUCCCGAAGAUCCAGUUUGGCAGUACUCAUUGCGUGAACUAAACUAAAAAAAUUCUGCAGGGCACAGGAAUGUCAACGAGCUAACGGCACUACAAGACCCCUAAGAACCGCCCUUAGGUUGUUUUUUUUCUAUUUUUACCUUGUACGCACGCAAUAAUCUCACAAUGUCGCAACAGCCUGUUCAAAUGAAAACAAAAAUACAGAAGAGAAGAGAAAGAAAUGUUAGCAAGCCGAUAGGCAAUUUUAUAGCGCAUCUGGUACAUCUGUUAAUCUAACUUGCACCCAUGACAGCCAAGUUUUUAGAAAAAUAUUUUUGUGCACUCCAUUUUUUAAACAGUAAAAUACACUGUUGUUAUUCACUCUUUAUGAAAGGUUUAUAACAUCCCCACUGCCGAUGAAUGCUUUCACUGCUGUAUUGAAAAAAAAGAAAUGUUACCUUCAUAAGGCAUUAAACAGCUGGCUUGGGAGUCUGGUGUGAGAUGGCGAUGUGUUGUCUUUGUAGUUAAACAUCUGGAUAACAAUGUAUCGUUUGAUCGAGUGCUUGUUACUUAUAGUUAUUCGCGUGGUGCAAGUGUUGUAAGCUCACAAUAGCUACAUCUGUAAAAAAAUGCCGUUGGUAUAAAUGAAUGGAGCAGUUGUUAAUUUGUCCGGUGUUCAUAGGUGCAAGCAUGAUGUGUUGAGAGGUUGAAAGUUGGCCUGAAUUCACGUGAGACUUUUUUAUACUCGAGUUCCCACAAGAUUGUUUCUAUUUUGGCUGUUUACAUAAAUAAAUUCCGCCUGCAUGGUGGUUUCCCACUU
RNAcentral lists this long non-coding RNA (2512 nucleotides) under Rhipicephalus microplus (southern cattle tick). Its description in RNAcentral is "uncharacterized LOC119170404". Lineage: Eukaryota; Metazoa; Arthropoda; Arachnida; Ixodida; Ixodidae. The record is from RNAcentral.